GACGUAGGGGGCCAGCGUUGCUCGGAAUUACUGGGCGUAAAGGGCGCGUAGGCGGCCUGUUAAGUCGAACGUGAAAUCCCCGGGCUCAACCCGGGAACUGCGUCCGAUACUGGCAGGCUUGAAUUCGGGAGAGAGAUGCGGAAUUCCAGGUGUAGCGGUGAAAUGCGUAGAUAUCUGGAGGAACACCGGUGGCGAAGGCGGCAUCCUGGACCGAGAUUGACGCUGAGGCGCGAAAGCCAGGGGAGCAAACGGG
RNAcentral lists this ribosomal RNA (253 nucleotides) under uncultured bacterium. Its description in RNAcentral is "partial 16S ribosomal RNA". It matches the Rfam family "Bacterial small subunit ribosomal RNA", at positions 524 to 776 of the family's 1533-position model. The record is from RNAcentral.